CACAAAAUCAUGACUUCCGAGGCGUACGGACAUCUUCGGAGGUAUAUUCCAGGUGAUCUUGCGGAUUGGCCUGUUAGAAGAGGCCAGGGAGUUCCAAACUGCAACACAAGUGAUAGCUCAGGUUUGUGGGUUAUCUCCUGGCUCAACUCGGAUGGGAAGUUUAAUGCUUCAAACAUCAGCGGGGUGCUUGAAGAUUCGAACAUAUGAGGGUUGACUGCGAUAUCUCUUGUUGGAGGCCCUUUCAACACCAUGGCCAGCACCGUGAGGAUCAGGGCUAGACAAUGGCAAAGGCGUUCCAUGGUCCAAAGCUGCAACAAAGAAAUAGUUCAAUGGGGACACAUCAGUAGGGAUCAUGGUGAAGUAGGUCCUAGGUCUCAUGAUAGCCUAUAAGCUCAUGAGAGAAAUAAGGUUGUCAGGGUCUGUACAUGUCCUUGUCAACAGUUAUUUUGUUUUGUUCUUGAACAUUAAAUUUCCUUUGUCUAGAUAGUUUAUGCCUUUGCAUGAAUUGUCCCCUGGUUAUGAAUUUAACAUCUAUGUUAUCCUGUGUGUGGUUCAC
Arachis ipaensis is the source of this 556-nucleotide non-coding RNA. NCBI's taxonomy places the organism in Eukaryota, Viridiplantae, Streptophyta, Magnoliopsida, Fabales, Fabaceae. The record is from RefSeq and is a predicted model, not a curated record.